Macaca mulatta (Rhesus monkey) is the source of this 2844-nucleotide non-coding RNA. The record is from RefSeq and is a predicted model, not a curated record. Lineage: Eukaryota; Metazoa; Chordata; Mammalia; Primates; Cercopithecidae.
AGAAGCUCUGGAAGCCCACUUUGCCAUCUCUGCACUGGUCCAGGUCCUUCAUUAUUUUGUCCACGGCCAGAGGGUCUUUUUGAUUCUGAAAAACAAAGAACAAAGGCAAGAAAUAUCGAAGGUUGCAAUGAUGAGCUUAUUUGAUUUGUACUGCUGAGACGUGUGUACAUACCUCCCAAUUACUUGAGCUCUUGUUUUAGGUCAUAAGCAACCUUUGGAGGUCAUCUAAAUGUAUUUUUCUUUUUUUGCCUUGAGGGAGCAUUUCAGAAAUUUCAUAGUUAGAUUCUGCCUAAGAACCACCCUAAGUUCCUCAUUUUGUGGUUUAAACUUACAUUCUCUUAUUAAAAUUUUAUUCCCAAUAGCAUGGUCAAAUCCCUUGCAAAGGAAACUCCUUAUGAAAAGAUAUUUUGGAUUUAGGGAGUAAGUUUUCGAUCACUGUCCUAUGGAUUUUAAAGAAGUGCUAAUGAUGCCAUGGAUUGUUUUAGGUUUGGAGAAGACAGCUCUCAUUCUUCUUGGCACAGCUGAGGCCAAGCUAGUGUGGCUUCAUAUUGUAUUAGCCACAUCAUGCUGAGUGAACCACUUAGUGGGCCGUUGUGUAUCAACGAUGAAUUGAGGAGGCUGGACUAUAAUGUUUCUAGAAUCCUUCCAUUCUUUGAAUUGGUAAGUCUAUGCCAUCCUAUACUCUUCACCGGACGUUGUACAUCGGACCAGUUUCAAAAGGAGUAUGUGUGAUGGAGUCUUAAACUCCCCAUGGCUCUCAGUGCCUACUAAGAAUGUGUGGGACAGAGAUGGGAAGGCAAGAUCCCCUUUGAUUUUAUCUGGCUUCCAUGGUGAUUGGCUUUUGGCUUCAUCACUCGUUUUUGUAGUGAUGCUGGUCAGAAGUGGUAAGCUGUGGUUUUUCCUGUAGGGUCCAUGCCAUCAACCAGAGAGAGAAAUAUGGCCUGUUUAGGUUGUUAAAGGGCUCAGGUAAAGUAUUUAUGAAUUCUGAUGACUAUAUUCAUGAGUGAGAGAAAUGAUACACAGUGUUUCAAGAGUGCACUAGAUGUUUCUAAAUAGCACUCGGAAAUUCCUAAAAGUAUAGCAGCAGCAUUUCCCACAUAAGCACUGCAAACUCCUACUCUAGCUAAACCCGCUCUAUGCAGCUCUUGGUGGGUUUCGGCUAAUUCUGGCUUCACCCUCAGCUUCCUGGCUAUGGUCAGAAUGAGUGCAAUCUGGAUGACAUAAGGGGUCUACUUUAGAAACAAAACGCUCUGUUAAUGCAGUGAGUGUAGGUGUUUCCGGAAUUAUGACUCUGUGCCUGGAAUAAAUCACCCUGCCAUGUUUAGUGCUCCACACUACAUAUACCCUUUAUGUGUCUCAUGCCACAAAACCUUUAGGAAGAAAGGGUCUGUGUCUUAUGUGAUACUCACUCGGGCUUCUAACAACACUCUUAACAAGUGUUUAGCAUACUGAGAAUGCCUUUGUCCAUAGGACGGGCAGGCUUACAAUGAGCACAUUUUGUCCUUGCGUCUUAAAUGCUUGUCUUGACUGAUCAUAGAAAGUGAAAGUGACCUUGCAGAUAAUUAUGUCCAGCCUUCUCCAAUUUUACAGGGGAGAAACUGAAGACUAGAGAGCUGAAGCAACCUGCCCGUUGUUAGUUAAGGCAGAGCCAGAUCUUCUAACUCCUGGUCUGGGGCUACAUCACAGGACUCUACAAAAGCAGAGGACCUGCAUAUUCCAGCUCAUUCUGGGAUAGCAUUAGGAGUCAGGGGGGCUUGACUAACGUGCUAUUUACGAGGCAGAUGACAAGAGGCAGGACCCAACCUUUUACCGUAUCUCCUCUCACCCUUUAGAGGUUAAUGCAUUACUCAACACCAAGCACAGAAACAAUCUUUUCAGUUGAAUCCAACAGCCAUCUCUCAAGAACCUGGAACAUAAAAGGACAACUGUGCCUUGUGGCCCCAUGUCCUGAGUCAUGUAUCUGAGCUAAUGGCAGAGUCCUCUUCUCGGUCUUCAUGCAUCUCUCAGUCUGUCAAAGGUGAGACAUAAACUCAAACUGCUCCUGUGCUGUCAGAGCAUUAUUACGUGAAAAGCAGUUAUUUCUGGAGUGACAUGUGCCUCUCAUUCAGUAGAUGACUGACGCUGCUCCUUUCAGUAUUAGAAAAAGUAAAAACAAUCCCUUUAUCUGAAGAGAUUUAAGAAGUGAGAUUCAAGUUGCUCGAAAUGGAAUGUGACCAGGAUGUGGCAUCUCCACCACCAGGUUUUUGGACCUGAAGAUAGCCAUUUUCUGGUUGACUACUCUUUUGUGAAAAGCUUUCUUUCUCCCAACUCUGUCCCCAACAUCAUCACAACAGACACAGAUAACCAGAUGGGAUUUUCCAACAAACAGCUCACAUCGUAGUUAUUUGUAUGUAGUCUUAUUUCACCUGCAGACUGUAAGCUCCUUGAAGGCUGGCGCCGUGUCUUCAUUACUUUCUAUUUCCUCAACAGUAUCUUACAAAUAGCAGGUACUCAAUAUUAUUUAAUAAAUGAAUGAAUGACCUCAUUCAUUCCUUCCUUCCUUCAGGUGACUACAUUCAUUCAUUCACUAGUGGUGACCUCCACAGGGAAGGGAUGGAAACAAGAAGGAAAAGGAACCAAGGCCUAGAAGCACUGACUUUUAUGUCUGGUUCUUUGUAAGCCUUUCAACACUUACUUCCAAAAAUCCAGGAAACUCCUUUUCCAUGAGUACUCUCAGGUCCUCCUUUGUUAAGUAGCCUUUAUCCCCCGCGAAUUUGUGAAAUGUAAACAUCAUGGUUUCCAUGGCAUGCUCCAUUUGAGACGGCAUUUUGGUGUGGUCUGUUGAAGCCUAUUAAAGGAUGUAAA